This 115-nucleotide ribosomal RNA is filed under the name Octodon degus (degu). Lineage: Eukaryota; Metazoa; Chordata; Mammalia; Rodentia; Octodontidae. The record is from RNAcentral.
AAGUAUGGUCAGACCACCCUGAACGCUCCUGAUCUCGGCUGAUCUCGGAAGCUAAGCAGGGUCGGGCCUGGUUAGUAUUUGGAUGGGCGCUACCUAACAGUGGCCACUGAAUUCU